GUCUACAGCCAUAUCACCCUGAACGCGCCCAGUCUUGUCUGAUCUCAGCAGCUAAGCAGGGUUGGGCCUGGUUACCACAUGGUUGGGAGAAAUAUCUGCUGAAUGUGGGUU
This 111-nucleotide ribosomal RNA is filed under the name Jaculus jaculus (lesser Egyptian jerboa). The record is from RNAcentral. Lineage: Eukaryota; Metazoa; Chordata; Mammalia; Rodentia; Dipodidae.